AGUGAACGCUGGCGGUAGGCCUAACACAUGCAAGUCGAACGGCAGCACAGUAAGAGCUUGCUCUUACGGGUGGCGAGUGGCGGACGGGUGAGGCAUACAUCGGAAUCUACUUUUUCGUGGGGGAUAACGUAGGGAAACUUACGCUAAUACCUCAUACGACCUACGGGUGAAAUCAGGGGAUCUUCGGACCUUGCGCGAUUGAAUGAGCCGAUGUCGGAUUAGCUAGUUGGCGGGGUAAAGGCCCACCAAGGCGACGAUCCGUAGCUGGUCUGAGAGGAUGAUCAGCCACACUGGAACUGAGACAAGGUCCAGACUCCUAAGGGAGGCAGCAGUGGGGAAUAUUGGACAAUGGGCGCAAGCCUGAUCCAGCCAUACCGCGUGGGUGAAGAAGGCCUUCGGGUUGUAAAGCCCUUUUGUUGGGAAAGAAAAGCAGCAGGUUAAUACCCCGCUGUUCUGACGGUACCCAAAGAAUAAGCACCGGGUAAAUUCGUG
This 492-nucleotide ribosomal RNA is filed under the name uncultured bacterium. RNAcentral describes it as "partial 16S ribosomal RNA". It matches the Rfam family "Bacterial small subunit ribosomal RNA", at positions 29 to 507 of the family's 1533-position model. The record is from RNAcentral.